This is a long non-coding RNA of Gallus gallus (chicken), 1223 nucleotides long. NCBI's taxonomy places the organism in Eukaryota, Metazoa, Chordata, Aves, Galliformes, Phasianidae. The record is from Ensembl.
UGCAGCUGCUUGACAGCUGUACUUGACAAAAAAGAAGUCGGAGAUGCAGAACAUCAUGACUGGCUCGCAUUGAGAGGAAGCUCCUCUUUUAGUCGUUCCUGUUGAGAUGUCCUGAUGCAGUAAGAUGUACAAGUGCAUCAUCUCCAGAAUCAAUAGCCUGAUGGACGAGGAGAGGAAGAAAAGCAAAGCCACCACCCAGCUCUUCAACCUCCUGCCUUGCGCUGUCAAUCCGGGAGAAGAAUCCCUUGGCCUGGUAUAGAAAUUUGUGCUAGGAAGAGAUGAAUUUCACUGUUAUUCCUCUGACAGUAGUGAUGAUGAAAUGGAGCUAAGCAAGGAGCAGAGUGUGGGCAGGAGUCUGGCAUGACUGCAGAUGACAAAGAGUAGCAGUAGAUGCACAGGAUGUCCCUCCAGAGAGGAAGGAGAAGAGGUCAGAAAUGAUGAAGCAAUUCCUCCAAACUGCUCUUCACAUGGAUAAUAAAUGUCAAAGAACGAUGAAGUAUCAGGAGACAUGGAAAAGGAAAUGGACAAGAUACUAAAUACUUGGAAAAGCAACAACAGCAACAAGAACAACAAAAAAAAUGCUGACCUGGAAGCCACCAAGUCAAGCUGUUUACAAAGUAUUUGAAAGAGGGAUCUACUGACUCAUCGUGGAUACUAUGGCAGGCUGCUUUUUACAUGCCACUUUUCUGACAAAUGCCUUCAGACUUUGGAUGUUUCCCAGUGGGAGGGGAAGAGAGAGUGUGUGAUGCUAAAAGAAAGGCCUACGCCUAUUCAAUGAGCCUGUUCUCCUCCUGGAACUUCUCCACACUUCAAGUGUCUGAACUUUGCUGCCAACUGAUUUCCUUAAGAAAGCUCAUGCCUGCCUCCUGUCUUUCCUCAAAGGAGAAUUUACUACCAAGUCAUUGAGAACACAGGUAUCAACUCUGUUGCAAAAGUAGUUGAGCUAGAAAGCUGAUGGCAUGAACACACUCCAGCAUCUGUAGUUAUUAGCAAAGUAAGGAGCUCCAUAGCUACCAGUCAUGUCAGACAACACUAUUUCCUUUGCUUGAAUGGCCAGGUCUUCAGAUAUGUCUGGGUCAGCUGAGGACAAUGUUUUGACAGGUUGCUGAAAAAGAUUUGAUCUUGCCAUAUAGUCAAUCAUGACCCACUCAGUGGGAGAAAUUUUAUAAUUUGUUAAGCACAUAAGUGCAUUCACAGCAAAGUCUUUCCAUUAAUAAUCAGAC